Molecule: long non-coding RNA, 344 nt
Organism: Microplitis mediator
Lineage: Eukaryota; Metazoa; Arthropoda; Insecta; Hymenoptera; Braconidae
Exons: 3
Source: RefSeq, a predicted model, not a curated record
CGACUGCUAUCACGCAACUUCUAAUAAUUCUGAUUUAUUUGGUCAAUUGAAUUAAGGGAAAAUGUCGAAGAGCUUAUUUAUUUUUGUGCUGGUGGUGUUUUUGGUCAUUAUGAUUGAUUUUUCAAAAUCAGCAUGCAAGAAUGAAAAUGAAGACUGUCAAACUACAGAUGAUUGCUGUGAUUACCAUAGAUGCUCCCACUCUGAUCAUAAAUGUCAUGAUCCAUCGUGGAAAAUAUUAUCGGAUAGUUGGUAUUCACAAAAACCAAAGUCUUCUUAUUGAAAAAAUGAUAACUAAAACAUUGAACGUAUCUUAAAAAUCUCGUAAUGUUGAAUAUAAAUUUAUC